Cinara cedri is the source of this 510-nucleotide non-coding RNA. NCBI's taxonomy places the organism in Eukaryota, Metazoa, Arthropoda, Insecta, Hemiptera, Aphididae. The record is from the annotation of a GenBank genome assembly.
CUUUUUUUUUUUUUUUUUUAUAUUUAUAACUUUACAGAACGUUUUGUUACGAAAUUAGAAGAAAUUUUAGAAUAUUACAAUAAACUUACAUAGUAGUAGGGCGGAUGACUUCUUCUAGAAUCUACACGAGUAUUUGUUUUGCGCAGCCGUGAAAAAAACCAGCUAGAAAGAAAUUAUUGUUACAUGCUAUGACGAAACCAAAUCUUUUAUGUUGCGUAUUUUCCACGGUUUUCUCUAUUUUUUGAGAUGUUUUUAAGUUUUUUUUUAUGCUUUUUGGGAGCUUUUUUGCGUUUUCUUUGCACGACUUCCUUAAAAAUAACGUUUAUCAAAACGAAAAUCAAUUAUUUUAACAUUCGAAGUCCGCGCCCACAAAUUACUAUAAUGGCCGUUUUGUGUCAGCGGUUAUUAUAAUGGGCAAAUACAUCAAUCAAUAAAUGUAAUCUCUACUUAAUCAAUAAAAAGUAGAAAGAAAAGGUUUAUUAAGACAAAAAGUUAUAAUUUGGCAGUGGU